This 3167-nucleotide long non-coding RNA is filed under the name Salmo salar (Atlantic salmon). RNAcentral's name for it is "lncRNA (ENSSSAG00000121619.1)". Lineage: Eukaryota; Metazoa; Chordata; Actinopteri; Salmoniformes; Salmonidae. The record is from RNAcentral.
GGGCUCCCCCCUGCUCGCCCUGCGGCCGUGGCGCCAACGCCCUCUAGCUCUGUGGAGUAAGUAUGAUGUGGGAGACUGGCUGGAGAGUGUUGGUUUGGCAGAGCAUCGUGCCCGCUUCCAGGAGCAUGAGAUUGAGGGUUCCCACCUCCCUGCCCUCACCAAGGAUGACUUCGCUGAACUGGGCGUGACACGAGUCGGACACCGCAUGAACAUUGAGAGAGCGCUCCGACAACUGCUGGACAACUGAACCUCUAACCCCUGAUAUUACUGAAGGGCUGUCACACCUGAACCCUAACCCUCUGUGGAGGUAUUCUGGCAACACCAGUGGCUGUAACCUGGCAACACCAGUGGCUGUAACCUGGCAACACCAGUGGCUUCAUCCUGGCAACACCAGUGGCUUCAUCCUGGCAACACCAGUUGCUUCAUCCUGGCAACACCAGUUGCUUCAUCCUGGCAACGCCAGUGGCUGUAACCUGGCAACACCAGUGGCAGUAACCUGGCAACACCAGUGGCUUCAUCCUGGCAACACCAGUGGCAGUAUGCUUUCAGAUGUCUAUUUUCCAAAGACAGCAUCACAUGGAGUUGAGCAUUUAGUAUGAACUUUUUAUGAAUAUACAAGAAAAUACCUCCUCCAUCGAAAUAUCUACAAUAUCGACAUAUUUUCCAAUAAUGAAAUUGAUGAUAAAUGUUUAUUAGGAAUAGAUAUAUUUAAAUAAAAUGGUGUGUUUCAUGACAACUUUAUUCUGUUUAGGGAAGGAUGAGAAGUGGUGGAUGAGACUUCAUCGUUAACCUGUCCGUCUACUACAUUACCCUGUUAGUCUACUACAUUACCCUGUUAGUCUACUACAUUACCAUGUUAGUCUACUACAUUACCCUGCAAAUCUACUAUAUUACCCUGUUAGUCUACUACAUUACCCUGUUAGUCUACUACAUUACCCUGUAAAUCUACUACAUUACCCUGUUAGUCUACUACAUUACCAUGUUAGUCUACUACAUUACCCUGUAAAUCUACUACAUUGCCCUGUUAGUCUACUACAUUACCAUGUUAGUCUACUACAUUACCCUGCAAAUCUACUACAUUACCCUGUUAGUCUACUACAUUACCCUGUUAGUCUACUACAUUACCCUGUAAAUCUACUACAUUACCCUGUAAAUCUACUACAUUGCUCUGUUAGUCUACCCUGUCAGUAUAUUGCAUUACCCUGUCCGUCUAUUACAUUACCCUGUUAGUCUACUACAUUACCCUGUAAAUCUACUACAUUGCUCUGUUUGUCUACCCUGUCAGUAUAUUACAUUACCCUGUCCGUCUACUACAUUACCCUGUUAGUCUACUAUAUUACCCUGUCCAUCUAUUACAUUACCCUGUUAGUCUACUACAUUACCCUGUUAGUCUACCUAUCUACCCUGUUAUUCUACUACAUUACUAUGUUAGUCUACCCUGUUAGUCUACUAUAUUACCAUGUUAGUCCACUACACUACUCUGCUCAUCCUCUACAUUACCAUGUUGCCUACCCUGUUAGUCUCCUACAUUACCCUGUUAGUCACCUACAUUACCCUGUUAGUAUCCUACCCUACCCUGUUAGUCUACUACAUGACCCUGUUGUCUACCCUGUUAGUCUACUACAUUAAAUCAAAUCAAAUGUAUUUAUAUAGCCCUUCUUACAUCAGCUGAUAUCUCAAAGUGCUGUACAGAAACCCAGCCUAAAACCCCAAACAGCAAGCAAUGCAGGUGUAGAAGCACGGUGGCUAGGAAAACUCCCUAGAAAGGCCAAAACCUAGGAAGAAACCUAGAGAGGAACCAGGCUAUGAGGGGUGGCCAGUCCUCUUCUGGCUGUGCUGGGUGGAGAUUAUAACAGCACAUGGCCAAGAUGUUCAAAGGUUCAUAAAUGACCAGCAUGGUCAAAUAAUAAUAAUCAUAGUAGUUGUCGAGGGUGCAACAAGCACAUCCGGUGAACAGGUCAGGGUUCCAUAGCCGCAGGCAGAACAGUUGAAACUGGAGCAUCAGCACGACCAGGUGCACUGGGGACAGCAAGGAGUCAUCAUGCCAGGUAGCCCUGAGGCAUGGUCCUAGGGCUCAGGUCCUCCGAGAGAGAGAGAAAGAAGAAAGAGAGAAAGAGAGAAUUAGAGAGAGCAUACUUAAAUUCACACAGGACACCGGAUAAGACAGGAGAAAUACUCCAGAUAUAACAUUACCAUGUUAUCUACCCUGUUAGUCUACUACAUUACCCUGUUAUUCUACUCCAUUACCCUGUUGUCUACCCUGUUAGUCUACCCUGUUAGUCUACUACAUUACCCUGUUGUCUACCCUGUUAGUCUACUACGUUACCCUGUUAGUCAACUACAUUACCCUGUUGUCUAACCUGUUAGUCUACUACAUUACCCUGUUAGUCUACCCUGUUAGUCUACUACAUUACCCUGUUGUCUAACCUGUUAGUCUACCCUGUUAGUCUACUACACUACCCUGUUAGUCUACCCUGUUAGUCUACUACACUACCCUGUUAGCCUACCCUGUUAGUCUACUACACUACCCUGUUAGUCUACCCUGUUUGUCUACACACUACCCUGUUAGUCUACCCUGUUUGUCUACCCUGUUAGUCUACACACUACCCUGCAUGUCUACCCUGUUAGUCUUUUACACUACCCUGUUAGUCUACCCUGUUAGCCUGCCCUAUUCGUUUAAUACAUUACCCUGUUGUCUACCCUGUUAGUCGACCCUAUUAGUUUAAUACAUUACCCUGUUGUCUAACCUGUUAGUCUACUACAUUAUCCUGUCAGUCUACCCUGUUAGUCUACCCUGUUGUUAUUCUACUACAUUAUCCUGUUAUCUACCCUGUUAGUCUACUACAUUACCCUGUUGUCUAACAUGCUAGUUUACUUCACUAUCAUGUUAGUCUACUGCAUUAUCAUGUUAGUCUACUGCAUUAUCAUGUUAGUCUGCUACAUUAUCUUGUUUGUCUAUCAUAUUACCUUGUUAGUCUGCUACAUUACCAUGUGUGUAAAUCUUUGGCCUAAAUUAGUUUAUUCUGCCAGGAAGACCUCGAAUGAACCUCACUAGUAUACAUGUUUUAUAUGAAUUUUAAGCAAUGUUGACAGGAAAGUUUCCAGUAUAUGUUUUCUAAUAUCCCUAGCUACUGGUUUGUAUGGAUUUUAUACCUGUCUGUGAUGCU